RNAcentral lists this ribosomal RNA (301 nucleotides) under uncultured bacterium. RNAcentral's name for it is "partial 16S ribosomal RNA". It matches the Rfam family "Bacterial small subunit ribosomal RNA", at positions 509 to 809 of the family's 1533-position model. The record is from RNAcentral.
CAGUAGCCGCGGGAAUACGGAGGAUCCAAGCGUUAUCCGGAAUCAUUGGGUUUAAAGGGUCCGUAGGCGGUCUUGUAAGUCAGUGGUGAAAGCCCAUCGCUCAACGGUGGAACGGCCAUUGAUACUGCAGGACUUGAAUUAUUGGGAAGUAACUAGAAUAUGUAGUGUAGCGGUGAAAUGCUUAGAGAUUACAUGGAAUACCAAUUGCGAAGGCAGGUUACUACCAAUUGAUUGACGCUGAUGGACGAAAGCGUGGGUAGCGAACAGGAUUAGAUACCCCCGUAGUCCCUGUCUCUUAUAU